GGGGGGCUGCUAUACUGCAAGUCGAGCGGACCGACGGGAGCUUGCUCCCUUAGGUCAGCGGCGGACGGGUGAGUAACACGUGGGUAACCUGCCUGUAAGACUGGGAUAACUCCGGGAAACCGGGGCUAAUACCGGAUGCUUGAUUGAACCGCAUGGUUCAAUCAUAAAAGGUGGCUUUUAGCUACCACUUACAGAUGGACCCGCGGCGCAUUAGCUAGUUGGUGAGGUAACGGCUCACCAAGGCGACGAUGCGUAGCCGACCUGAGAGGGUGAUCGGCCACACUGGGACUGAGACACGGCCCAGACUCCUACGGGAGGCAGCAGUAGGGAAUCUUCCGCAAUGGACGAAAGUCUGACGGAGCAACGCCGCGUGAGUGAUGAAGGUUUUCGGAUCGUAAAACUCUGUUGUUAGGGAAGAACAAGUACCGUUCGAAUAGGGCGGUACCUUGACGGUACCUAACCAGAAAGCCACGGCUAACUACGUGCCAGCAGCCGCGGUAAUACGUAGGUGGCAAGCGUUGUCCGGAAUUAUUGGGCGUAAAGCGCGCGCAGGCGGUUUCUUAAGUCUGAUGUGAAAGCCCCCGGCUCAACCGGGGAGGGUCAUUGGAAACUGGGGAACUUGAGUGCAGAAGAGGAGAGUGGAAUUCCACGUGUAGCGGUGAAAUGCGUAGAGAUGUGGAGGAACACCAGUGGCGAAGGCGACUCUCUGGUCUGUAACUGACGCUGAGGCGCGAAAGCGUGGGGAGCGAACAGGAUUAGAUACCCUGGUAGUCCACGCCGUAAACGAUGAGUGCUAAGUGUUAGAGGGUUUCCGCCCUUUAGUGCUGCAGCAAACGCAUUAAGCACUCCGCCUGGGGAGUACGGUCGCAAGACUGAAACUCAAAGGAAUUGACGGGGGCCCGCACAAGCGGUGGAGCAUGUGGUUUAAUUCGAAGCAACGCGAAGAACCUUACCAG
This 956-nucleotide ribosomal RNA is filed under the name Bacillus licheniformis. Its description in RNAcentral is "bacterial SSU rRNA". It matches the Rfam family "Bacterial small subunit ribosomal RNA", at positions 41 to 977 of the family's 1533-position model. Lineage: Bacteria; Bacillati; Bacillota; Bacilli; Caryophanales; Bacillaceae. The record is from RNAcentral.